This 622-nucleotide ribosomal RNA is filed under the name uncultured bacterium. Its description in RNAcentral is "bacterial SSU rRNA". It matches the Rfam family "Bacterial small subunit ribosomal RNA", at positions 1 to 635 of the family's 1533-position model. The record is from RNAcentral.
UAGAGUUUGAUCCUGGCUCAGAUUGAACGCUGGCGGCAGGCCUAACACAUGCAAGUCGAACGGUAACAGGAAGCAGCUUGCUGCUUUGCUGACGAGUGGCGGACGGGUGAGUAAUGUCUGGGAAACUGCCCGAUGGAGGGGGAUAACUACUGGAAACGGUAGCUAAUACCGCAUAAUGUCGCAAGACCAAAGAGGGGGACCUUCGGGCCUCUUGCCAUCGGAUGUGCCCAGAUGGGAUUAGCUUGUUGGUGAGGUAACGGCUCACCAAGGCGACGAUCCCUAGCUGGUCUGAGAGGAUGACCAGCCACACUGGAACUGAGACACGGUCCAGACUCCUACGGGAGGCAGCAGUGGGGAAUAUUGCACAAUGGGCGCAAGCCUGAUGCAGCCAUGCCGCGUGUAUGAAGAAGGCCUUCGGGUUGUAAAGUACUUUCAGCGGGGAGGAAGUGUUGUGGUUUAUAACCGCAGCAAUUGACAGUACCCGCAGAGAGCACCGGCUAACUCCGUGCCAGCAGCCGCGGUAUACGGAGGUGCAGCGUUAAUCGGAUUACUGGGCGUAAGCGCACGCAGCGUCUGUCAGUCGAUGUGAAUCCCGGGCUCACCUGGGACUGCAUUCGAACUG